AGCCAAUGAUAGAUUUGAACCCCCUGU
This 27-nucleotide non-coding RNA is filed under the name Mus musculus (house mouse). The record is from RNAcentral. Lineage: Eukaryota; Metazoa; Chordata; Mammalia; Rodentia; Muridae.